GUGAAUCAUCGAAUCUUUGAACGCACAUUGCGCCCCUUGGUAUUCCGAGGGGCAUGCCUGUUCGAGCGUCAUAUUAACCACUCCCGCGUGCGGGGUCUUGGGCAGCGCCUCCGGGCGGGCCUUAAAAUCAGUGGCGGUGCCGUCGGGCUCUACGCGUAGUACAUACUCCUCGCGAUAGGGUCCCGGUGGAUGCUGGCCAACAACCCCCAACUUCUUAAGGUUGACCUCGGAUCAGGUAGGGAUACCCGCUGAACUUAAGCAUAUCAAUAAGCGGAGGA
This 278-nucleotide unclassified non-coding RNA is filed under the name Hymenoscyphus sp. RNAcentral describes it as "partial contains 5.8S ribosomal RNA, internal transcribed spacer 2, and large subunit ribosomal RNA". The stretch from base 1 to 71 matches the Rfam family "5.8S ribosomal RNA", at positions 84 to 154 of the family's 154-position model. Lineage: Eukaryota; Fungi; Ascomycota; Leotiomycetes; Helotiales; Helotiaceae. The record is from RNAcentral.